RNAcentral lists this ribosomal RNA (494 nucleotides) under uncultured bacterium. RNAcentral describes it as "partial 16S ribosomal RNA". It matches the Rfam family "Bacterial small subunit ribosomal RNA", at positions 28 to 507 of the family's 1533-position model. The record is from RNAcentral.
GACGAACGCUGGCGGCGUGCUUAACACAUGCAAGUCGAACGGUGAAGCGCCUUCCUUUUUGGUGGGUGUGGAUGAGUGGCGAACGGGUGACUAACACGUGAGUAACCUGCCCCCUUCUUCUGGAUAACCGCACGAAAGUGUGGCUAAUACGGGAAAUCCUGGGUCUGUCGCAUGAUGGGUCUGUGGAAGAUCUUGUUUCGGGUGGGGAUGGGCCCGUGGCCUCUCAGGGUGGUGGUGGGGUGAUGGCCUACCAAGGCGGUGACGGGUAGCCGGCCGGAGAGGGUGGGCGGUGGGACUGGGAGGGAGACACGGCCGAGAGUGAGACGGAAGGCAGCAGUGGGGAAUAGGGCACAAGGGGCGAGAGCCUGAUGCAGCGGGGCGGCGUGAGGGAUGGACAACGCCGGGUGGAGAACCACUGUCGCCGGGGAGGAAGGUCUGUUUCGUAUGUAGGAGGAUUGACGGUACCUGGAGAAGAAGCCCCGGCUAACUCCGUG